GGAGUUUGGUCCGUGUCUCAGUACCAAUGUGGGGGACCUUCCUCUCAGAACCCCUACUGAUCGUCGCCUCGGUGGGCCGUUACCCCGCCGACAAGCUAAUCAGACGCAUCCCCAUCCCCCAGCGAUGAAUCUUUCCUCCUCAUUAGAUGCCCGCAAAGGAGAACAUAGGGCAUUAAUCCGACUUUCGCCGGGCUAUUCCCUACUGAGGGCCAGGUUGGAUACGCGUUACUCACCCGUGCGCCGGUCGCCAUCAAAGGAAGCAAGCUUCCUUCAUGCUGCCCCACGACUUGCAUGUGUUAAGCCUGUAGCUAGCGUUCAUC
Molecule: ribosomal RNA, 320 nt
Filed under: uncultured Prevotella sp.
Lineage: Bacteria; Pseudomonadati; Bacteroidota; Bacteroidia; Bacteroidales; Prevotellaceae
Description: partial 16S ribosomal RNA
Source: RNAcentral